CCUACGGGGGGCAGCAGUAGGGAAUCUUCCACAAUGGACGAAAGUCUGAUGGAGCAACGCCGCGUGAGUGAAGAAGGGUUUCGGCUCGUAAAGCUCUGUUGGUAGUGAAGAAAGAUAGAGGUAGUAACUGGCCUUUAUUUGACGGUAAUUACUUAGAAAGUCACGGCUAACUACGUGCCAGCAGCCGCGGUAAUACGUAGGUGGCAAGCGUUGUCCGGAUUUAUUGGGCGUAAAGCGAGUGCAGGCGGGUUAAUAAGACUGAUGUGAAAGCCUUCGGCUCAAACGGAGAAAUGCAACAGGAACUG
RNAcentral lists this ribosomal RNA (305 nucleotides) under uncultured bacterium. Its description in RNAcentral is "bacterial SSU rRNA". It matches the Rfam family "Bacterial small subunit ribosomal RNA", at positions 338 to 635 of the family's 1533-position model. The record is from RNAcentral.